RNAcentral lists this long non-coding RNA (429 nucleotides) under Nicotiana benthamiana. Its description in RNAcentral is "long non-coding RNA (NBEN_LNC037136)". Lineage: Eukaryota; Viridiplantae; Streptophyta; Magnoliopsida; Solanales; Solanaceae. The record is from RNAcentral.
UUAGUUUAUAACAGUAAUUAUAUUUUAAAUUAUGGGAUAUUUUGAAAGAGUUUUAUAUUGUGUAGAGAAAGUUAAACUCUCAAAUUCAAUCCCGAAUUGCUCAACGCACAAUGAUUAUUACAUAUGAAAACGAGACCCGUUAAGUAUGAAACAGACAACCCGAAAACCCGACAACAAAGAAGAAAAAACCAAGAACAUAAAACCCGGCGAAUGCCAAGGCAACUUAGAUAUCUGAUUGUACACAAAAUGCAUUAUUAGCCGUACACGUGUCCCUUUCCCUUAACGUCCGAGCCAAUGCCGUUAACCAAGAACAUAAACCCGGCGAAUCCCAAGGCAACUGAGAUAUCUGAUUGUACACAAAAUGCAUUAUUAGCCGUACACGUGCCUCUUUCCCUUAACGUCCGAGCCAACGCCGUUCCCGCCGAAUCC